UUUUUUACAAGAAAUCUAGCUCUUGGGUUAUAUCAACACAUAUAUAUAUAAAUGCAAUACACCAAUACUUGCCGGCCGGAGAAGGACGGCGAAGAGGGAGAGAAGUAGGGCAUGAGAAUAAAAAACAACAAUACUGUUCUUUGGUAGAGACAAAUUAUUCCCAUAUAUAUAUAUAAUUGAUCUUGAAGAUCCAGUCAAUUAAUACAAGAGAUGAAUGAAACACUGCAAUUACAUGUAAAAAAAAACACACAGCAAUUACAAAGAAAACUGAAAUAAUUAAUCAUCUUCUCCUCACAAUUUUCUUCCCUUAUAACAAGAAAUAAUGAACAUAGAUACAUCAGGAAAUCUUAACAACAGAAAGAUCUAGUGCAAAGAAAAGGCAAUUCAAUAUAUUGAAAAAUGGGAAGAACGUGCACUAUCAUCAUGAUCAGUUUUCAGUAACAUAAUAAUAAGAAGCACAAGAACUCAAAAAAUUUCAUAUAUACAUACAGAAUUAAUAUCAAGAAUUCUUCAGAUGCUUUUUGAACCCGUGAGUAAAUAAAUGGUAGAUGAUAUGAUGAUAAUGCUUCAUUUUUUGCUGUCUUGAAUCACUAUAUAUCUCAAGAAGUUACAAGAUAUAACCAAAAAAAGGAAACUAGCACAAGAAAGGAAAUAAAAUUAAGUACACAAAUAGAGCUACGAUUGCCUGGCUCCAUCCUGUCUGCCUUUUUCUAUCCUAUGACGGAAUGUUCUUGUUGUUGAGUUGAGAGUUGAGAGAGAAAAAGAGAAAAGGAGAGUUACAUUUUAGUAAUAGUUCUCUUCCACACACCCUUUAAUGCAAUUUGCACUAAAAUGACCUCUGAUUUCCAAAGGGAUGUUUGUAGGCAAGCCCUCACUGGCAAGGGCAGAAUUGUCAUACCAUCUUGCCUAGAAGAAAAUGAUCCAAAUGGGUGGUUGAGAGAGAUGAGAAGUGCUUGUCCUCUUGAGCCAUUUCUGAUAUAUUGUGGUUUAAGGGCAGCCCCACCAGUAAUUCUUGGAGACUUUCCCUCCAUUCUCUGUCACAAAGGAAUGGAA
This 1053-nucleotide unclassified non-coding RNA is filed under the name Hevea brasiliensis (rubber tree). The record is from RNAcentral. Lineage: Eukaryota; Viridiplantae; Streptophyta; Magnoliopsida; Malpighiales; Euphorbiaceae.